RNAcentral lists this ribosomal RNA (254 nucleotides) under uncultured bacterium. Its description in RNAcentral is "partial 16S ribosomal RNA". It matches the Rfam family "Bacterial small subunit ribosomal RNA", at positions 524 to 776 of the family's 1533-position model. The record is from RNAcentral.
UACGUAGGGUGCAAGCGUUUGUCCGGAAUUAUUGGGCGUAAAGAGCUCGUAGGCGGUUUGUCGCGUCUGCUGUGAAAACCCGAGGCUCAACCUCGGGCCUGCAGUGGGUACGGGCAGACUAGAGUGCGGUAGGGGAGACUGGAAUUCCUGGUGUAGCGGUGAAAUGCGCAGAUAUCAGGAGGAACACCGAUGGCGAAGGCAGGUCUCUGGGCAUUAACUGACGCUGAGGAGCGAAAGCAUGGGGAGCGAACAGG